UACGUAGGGUGCAAGCGUUGUCCGGAAUUAUUGGGCGUAAAGAGCUCGUAGGCGGUUUGUCGCGUCGAAUGUGAAAACCCGGGGCUCAACCCCGGGCCUGCAGCCGAUACGGGCAGACUAGAGUUCGGCAGGGGAGACUGGAAUUCCUGGUGUAGCGGUGAAAUGCGCAGAUAUCAGGAGGAACACCGGUGGCGAAGGCGGGUCUCUGGGCCGAUACUGACGCUGAGGAGCGAAAGCGUGGGGAGCAAACAGG
Molecule: ribosomal RNA, 253 nt
Filed under: uncultured bacterium
Lineage: Bacteria
Description: partial 16S ribosomal RNA
Rfam family: Bacterial small subunit ribosomal RNA
Source: RNAcentral